AACUGUGGCUUUGGGCAUGGCAGCUG
This 26-nucleotide non-coding RNA is filed under the name Mus musculus (house mouse). The record is from RNAcentral. Lineage: Eukaryota; Metazoa; Chordata; Mammalia; Rodentia; Muridae.